Molecule: ribosomal RNA, 484 nt
Filed under: uncultured bacterium
Lineage: Bacteria
Description: partial 16S ribosomal RNA
Rfam family: Bacterial small subunit ribosomal RNA
Source: RNAcentral
AUUGAACGCUGGCGGAAUGCUUUACACAUGCAAGUCGAGCGGCAGCACGGGGGCAACCCUGGUGGCGAGCGGCGAACGGGUGAGUAAUACAUCGGAACAUGCCCAGUCGUGGGGGAUAACACUUCGAAAGAAGUGCUAAUACCGCAUACGUCCUGAGGGGGAAAGCGGGGGAUCGCAAGACCUCGCGCGAUUGGAGUGGCCGAUGUCAGAUUAGCUAGUUGGUGGGGUAAAGGCCUACCAAGGCAACGAUCGGUAGCUGGUCUGAGAGGAUGAUCAGCCACACUGGGACUGAGACACGGCCCAGACUCCUACGGGAGGCAGCAGUGGGGAAUUUUGGACAAUGGGGGCAACCCUGAUCCAGCCAUUCCGCGUGAGUGAAGAAGGCCUUCGGGUUGUAAAGCUCUUUCGGCAGGAACGAAACGGUGAGCUCUAACAUAGCUUGCUAAUGACGGUACCUGAAGAAGAAGCACCGGCUAACUACGUG